AACGCGAAGAACCUUACCAACCUUUGACAUGUCCUCUAUGGGUCUAGGAGACUAGACUCUUCACUUCGGGUGGGAGGAACACAGGUGCUGCAUGGCUGUCGUCAGCUCGUGUCGUGAGAUGUUGGGUUAAGUCCCGCAACGAGCGCAACCCUCAUCUUUAGUUGCCACCAGGUAAGGCUGGGCACUCUAAAGAACCGCCGGUGAUAAGCCGGAGGAAGGCGGGGAUGACGUCAAGUCCUCAUGGCCCUUACAGGUUGGGCUACACACGUACUACAAUGGUGGUGACAGUGGGUUGCGAAGUCGCGAGACGGAGCCAAUCCCCAAAAGCCAUCUCAGUUCAGAUUGCACUCUGCAACUCGAGUGCAUGAAGUUGGAAUCGCUAGUAAUCGCAGAUCAGCACGCUGCCGGUGAAUACGUUCCCGGGCCUUGUACACACCGACUGUAC
RNAcentral lists this ribosomal RNA (445 nucleotides) under uncultured bacterium. RNAcentral's name for it is "bacterial SSU rRNA". It matches the Rfam family "Bacterial small subunit ribosomal RNA", at positions 958 to 1399 of the family's 1533-position model. The record is from RNAcentral.